This 70-nucleotide transfer RNA is filed under the name Dipodomys ordii (Ord's kangaroo rat). It matches the Rfam family "tRNA". Rfam says of the family: Transfer RNA (tRNA) molecules are approximately 80 nucleotides in length. Their secondary structure includes four short double-helical elements and three loops (D, anti-codon, and T loops). Lineage: Eukaryota; Metazoa; Chordata; Mammalia; Rodentia; Heteromyidae. The record is from Rfam by way of RNAcentral.
GGGAAGGUGGCUCAGAGGUAGAGUGCUUGCCUUGCAUGCAUGAAGCCUGGGGUUCAAUUCUAUCAUACCA